UUUUAAUUGUAUUUUUCAUUAAAGCCCAGUGGAUCGAUCGUUUUUAUUUUUUGUAUCCAUUGUCGUUCAAUUCGACGUCUCUGUUGUUUGGACCAGGUCUGUUUGCUAUCCAGGAUUCUAUAUUUCAAAAAUUCCAGGCCAACUUGGAUGAAAUGCCUAUGUAGGAUCGAUGUACCCUAACCUCCCCGUAUACGGUACAGAUGUUGUGAGAUUCUGGUUUUGGCUGUUUUUUCUGUUUCCCCAAUAUAAAGUUUAUUACAGUGUGUACAUUCGAUCAUAUAGAUCAAGUUGGUGGUUUGUGGAGUACAUCUGAAUGUUACUGUAGCUCCCUGCCCUGAAUGGCUAUUUACUAUAUACGGUGAGUAUCUGAGUAACCACGUGUCUGUGCUGUUGUUUUUGGAAUGAUCAAAUCGUGUGUGAACCAGUAUGUCUGAUAGGUUUUUAUUUCUUUUAUAGGCUGUAAUCGGGCGGAAAUUAUUCAAGGGGUCGAUUAAUUCCUGUGCCCGGUGGAAAUUGGCCUUUAAGCCUGAAAUUAAACCUGAAAGGUCCUGGGAAUAUGUUAACACCAACGGGACAAGUGCGAGACUACUCUUAUCUGUUUUAUAAUCUUUUUUAUUUUUGAAUGAGUUUCUGACCUCCGAUCUAAUUGACGGCUGGAAUAACCUCUGGGUCUAAGGGCUGUGAACAGAGUCGAGGUAGCCUCAUCUAUGUCCUGCUGGUAAGUGCAUAUCCUAUGGAAUCUUAUUAAUUGUGAUUUGAUGAUCCCUUUAAAUGUGUGUCUGGGGUGGUAACUGCUCUUGUGUAGAAGGGUGUGGCGGUCGGUCUCUUUGAAGUGUACUUUGGUGGCCAGCUGUUUCGAGUGGGCAGUGUGAUUAUGGAAGAAGAUCCGCGUGUCCAGGAAUUCAAUCUCCUGUGUUUGCACCUGGAACGGGACUGUCCAGGUAUCUGGUGGUUUAUGGAUUUUAGGAAGUAGAUAAAAUAGUCUGGAACGCGGAUUAUCUGGGCCAAGGAGAGGUUGUUCCAGGGGGACAUAAUAGGUUGUGUUGUUGAGCUGUCUUUCUGCUUCCAGGAGAUAAUUAAAUCUAUCCUGUAAGACUAUUUGUCCUCCCUUGUCUGCAGGUUUUAUGAUUAUAUCCUGUCUUUUGCUGAGUGCAGAGAGUGCCUUUCUUUGAAUCCCUGUAAUGUUUAAUUUUGCCCUGUAGGAGGCUCUAAAACGGGAGAGGCAUUCCUCAUCCUUCCGGAUUAGUUCUUGGAUGGGCUCCGCCAGAGAUUCAAAGGCAGGUUCCCAGGUGGAAUUAGUUGUAAAUGGAAUGUGUGGGAAUUCUGUGUUAUAGUGGAAAUGAUCCAAGAUUUUUAAUCUUCUAUGGUAAGUGUGUAGAUCACUGCGCAGUUGGUCAGGAUCUGGUGGUCUGGGUGUUGGAAUAAAUGUGAGUCCCCUCUUUAAAAUCUCCCUUUCUAGGUAGUUUAGUUUAAAGGAAGAGCAGAGGUUGGUGAUGUUUGAGUUUUGGGGAGUUGCUGUAGUGCACUGCUCCCCACUCACAUGUUUAAUUGAUCCACCCAGUGUUCAGCUAUUUUCUCGGCCGUCUCCUUAGUCCAGUGUACUGGAUCUCUUGGCUCAGUCUUGAAGUGGAGUGGACUGAUCUCUGACAGGGGGAAGUUUUUUCAAAAUCUCCCCUAUGUGAUGGAAUUGUGCUCCAGGGAAGCUGUCCAUCUGGAUUUCUUCACUGGCAAAUUGUGGCACUCGAGCUAGAUUUGAAUCUCCUAUUAUUAUAAUAGCUUUUCUAGGUGUGAGGUGCCAAUUCCUAAUUUUAUGCUCCGUUCUCUGGUGGACCGUGGGUUCACAGUCGGAGGUCACCGCGGCCCCAGAGUGCAGACGAGGAGGCCGCAGCUGCUCCGGCUGCUUAGACCGUGGUUCUGGAGCUGGAGGGGGAGAGGAGGAGACAGUGAUUUGAGAAGGGGAUUGUGGCUGGGACAGCGUUAGGGGGUCCUCAAAGGUCUGCAGGGGGGCCCCCCUGUGUUUCAUGCCACAGCCCUCCAGAAGAGUGGAUGACGCUGUCGAUACAGGAGGUAUCUGCAAAGGAGAAGCGAUAUUCAUUCUUGCAGUGUGUGGAUGAGCCGGUGUGGGUUCCACCGGUUCCUGUGGUUUGGCAAGCGGGGAACUCAGAGGCCGGCUGUCCCUGUCUGGAUCUAGAGUUGGUGAUUUAAUGUUGUCAGGUGUGUCUUGAGAGGCUGGGGAAGGGAUGGCUGGUGCAUUGGGGAUAGUUUGGCCUGUGCCGCCUGAUCUGGAGUGGGGAGAGGUGGAAAAUCCUGUAGAGAGGGUUCCACACUCUCCGGGCCCACCUGUGGUUGCCCUUGGAGCACCAUGGUUCUCAGGGUGUCUAUGGAGCUGUCGGUAAGUCGAGGUCCAUAUCUCAGUUUAGCCCAUUUUAAGGCUUUACUUAAGGCUGCUGGUUGAAAGGUUAUCACCUGUGCUAAAAGAGAUGCUAAUAAGGCAUCAUAAUGGUCAGCCAGGAUUAUUAAAUUAUUGUUCAGCCAUUGAUCUGUGUUUAUUUUAACCCUUUCCAGAGUUGCCGGAUUAGGAACUGCUGGUUUAAUGAAGUCUAGAUCCUGAGGGUCAUUUGGAGGAGCCGAGGCAGUUUCCCUAGGGGCUGGCUUGAGUAGAUUUUGUUCCGCAGUCCCACACUUACCCGGGCUAUUUGGUUGAGCCAGCACUUCAAAUCUGUUACUCAGGGGUAAGGACAUGGUGGCUGUGCUGCUAAGAGAUCCGUAGUGAAAAGCAGAGGGUUUGUUAAACAGAUGAUAGUAUAAAAAAUAAAAUUAGGUAAUCAGUCAGUUAAAAUGAAACAAUAAUUAAAUUAAUGAUUAAAUUUCAUUUAAACAGAUCUGGUUAAAUAAAAACCAAAUUAAAUGAGCAUAAGAGAUACUUAAAAGAGGAUACUAAAACAAGGGGGGAACAAAAGGAUUAAAAGAGAAAGGGGUAGGGAAGAUAAGAGAGGAGACAACAGCACACUAGGUUAGCUUAAAAUACUUAGCAAGCACUUACAGUGCAGUAGAAAACAAUAAGGCUCCGUGAUAAUCCUGUAUUACCAAAACAGGGGGACACGUGUGUAAAAAAAAUCAGGAUUCAAAAAUAUCCUUGCAGGGCAAUCAUAAAUAGAAAAUAAAAGAUAUAAAAUAAAUAAAUAAUAAAAAGUCCUUCAGGGUGGGGAAUCCAUCCAAACAGGGGAUGAGUUUUGUUUAAAAUAGUUGAGGUUUGUGUCGAUGCUUGGAUUAGCUGGGGAGAGUUGUGUAGAGUCUUCAAACGUGAUGUUGUAUAAUCUUCUGUGUGCGCACACUCUUUUUCCUGUAGGUUAGUAGACAACACUCACCCAUUUGCUGAUCCAGGCCUGAGACCAGAUCCAGUAGGCCUCAAGCCUCAGUCCUCUGGUUAGACCCUGUUUGUUGAGAAAACCUGUCUGAAGUUAGUCUCUCUCAGAGGAUUAAAGGAAAGAAGGUCCCAACGUUUCGCCUGGAAGGCUUCUUCAGGGGAGCAAGAAGAGAGUGAAGGAUCCAGGCCUCUAUAUUCAUAUAGAUCAAGUCCAUGAGGGUGGAUCCUAGAAAUAAAAGGUUCCAUAUUGGCUCAUGGAGAAAAAGCAGAUUGAUAAAUGGUCCGGAGCUGGUUCAGUGAGAGGAGAGUACAAGUUUUGAAAGGAUAUGAAGGUAAGUAAAGGGAGGGGACAAGGAGGGGUGAGGAAAACACAGCCUAUUAGGACAGGGAGUAUUAUUUGUGAAAAUGUUGAAUUUUUAUAUAUCCCUGAUAUUUUUUUUUCAAUCACAUCAAUAGGUUGUGUUAGGGAUCCUCAACUCUGGAGAUCCUGUUGGACCUGGAUUGGGGGCUCUUCCUCCUGAAAACCGGGAGGGGGGGGGUUUAUAGCUUUACUAGUUAGAGUUGGGUCCUCCAACAUAGUAAUAGGAUUAGGUCAAGGUCAGG
Long non-coding RNA from Lates calcarifer (barramundi perch), 3970 nucleotides. RefSeq lists it as uncharacterized. The transcript is spliced from 11 exons. The record is from RefSeq and is a predicted model, not a curated record. NCBI's taxonomy places the organism in Eukaryota, Metazoa, Chordata, Actinopteri, Centropomidae.